GACGCCGAUCCUUUUAAUCCCGAACCCGACUUCUGCUCUGCGCGCCCGAUUCCUCUCUUCCCAGAUCUCCCCUCUGCUUGACGCGCUCUCUCUCGCGGACGACUCGAAGACAACGGAACGGAGCUUCGACCUUCGGUGAUCGACAGUGUCACUUGAGGAGGAAGUCUUCGGAUCUCGACGAUACUGGCAUAGUCAAAGCCAUCUUCAGUAAUCGAUACCUAGGGCACGACUGAUCGCCUACUUCUCGCCGGACCUUUUCUUCUUUUCCUCGGCACCACCGGUGUAGAUUUAUUCCCGGAGCCUCAAGGAUGAACUAUCUUGUUCUUCUUUGAUUUCCCGCAAACCUCAGCGCCGGACCUUUCCUCGAUUCCUCCUCUUCCUCUUGUGGCGCUGUGCCCUAGCCGGAUCUUGGAGAGACGUUCGAUUGUUGAGGUAAUCUGGUGGGGGAGUCUUCUUCCGGCAGCAACCAUCUAUGGUUGAGGAUCAGCAGAAAGUGAAUUGUUGAUUGCCUCUAAACCUUACGUGAGAAAGAUUCCAGCAGGGAAGUUUAGUUCUGUGGUGUUCUUUGGUCCCAUCAACUACUCUUUCAUGGCAGUAAUGAUUCUGGAUUGGGGAUCAACAGAAGGGGCUGAGCUUGAGGUAUGUGUAGGGGUUUUGAUACAUGAUGUAGAUGAUUGUUAGAUAGGUUUAUGUGUUGAAUUAGGGAUAAAUUGGAUCACAUUGGUUAAUUGAAUUUAGAAUAGCACAUGUGUAGUUGAAUUUAGAUCAUGGUGUAAUCUGAUCAUUUAGUAGUUAAUUGUGCGGACAAGCUGUUUUGUUUACAGUUUCUUUUCUUUUCUCUAUUUUUGAGUAAUUUAUUUCUGCUCGAGAAAUUUGUACUUUGACACUUUUAUUACUUGUAAGUUGUAUCCAUGUUCUCUUUUAUAUAAUGCUCAGUUAGAUUAACAUAGGGACAUUGCAACUAAUAUAUCUAUAUAUUCUGGAACUCUAUAAAAUCAAUUACUGGUGCUUCGUUGUUACAUUGCACUAUCCUUGCAGUUAAGAUUGGGAGGCCAGGGUAUAGGGUCUCAAAGCAAUUUGAUCUAGAGACAAAACAACGAUCUCUUUUGUUUCAGGUUUCACCUAGCACUUUUAUAAUAUUUUGAUUAAUAUAUCUGAUAUUAUGAUUUCAAUUUACACACAUUAUGAUUUCAUUGAUUCAUGCCCAUCAAGUGUUUGAUUAAAUUUCUCUUCCAUUGUAUAGGUUUUAGUUGAUACAAUUUCUUUAGUUUAAUUCCAAGUAAUGCUUGUUAGUUUAGUGAUUUAUGUUCCUAUGAUGUUUGUUCUUUAUUUGAAUGUAAUUAGUUUAGGUUUUGUCACAUGCUCUAGUUUAUGUUCCUAUGAUGUUUGUUGGAUUCUCUAAGGCACCGCAUUCAUGAUGAGGAUUGGAAAUAUAUAGUGGAAAUGUGAGUUCAUAUUUAUUUUUAUUAAGCAUUUAUGUUAAUACAAAACUCAUAUAUAAAAAAUCAUUAACAUAUGAAGGGCCUUAAGAUUGUUUAAUUCAAACAAGGGAAGGAAAGGUAGAAAAAAGGCUAUGUGGGAAGUAGUAAAGGUAUGUGUAAUUAUAUAUAACAAUCUUCCUUCAUGUGUAUGUUUAUCAUUAAUAAUUUGUAUCUUAUUACCAUAGGCUCCUCAACAACAAGAAGCAACUUCUUGCUUCUUUGGAAUCCAUUAUCAGCUAUGCUUGUUAGUUUUUUCCUGCACUCUCAUAUUUUCAAUGGAUUAGCCAUGGACAUUGUAUCUCUUAGUUCUGUUUCGUGGAAGGUUUCUGACAAAUUGAAUUUCCAGAUACAGUAGAUUUUAUCUCUCAGAUUAUUGCAGCUUCGAUACAGGAAUACCUGUCCAUUUGCUGACUAUUUCUGCUGUCACAGCCAACCCUUUGUUUCAAAGUAUUUUGAUGUUAUUGAUCCUUCAAGGACGAACAACAAUCUUUGACAAAGUUUCAGAACAAGCAAGCGAUUGGUGGUUUGGAUGUCAAUGAGUGGAAUGGUAGAAGGGUCGUCUCUGAACCCAAAUGCCCUACACUCUGUUCUGCAGCAGUUGCGGGAGUCAGUGCAGGCAUUGUUGGAACACUUCCAUCAGUGGAGGCAACAAGAGAUGGCUGGCAAAGACUUGUUUGAGACUGCCUCUGUGGAGGCUUUAGUCAUGAACCUGAGCACCAAAUCUCCGAAAAAAGGCGUGAGGCCGGGUAAAUAUCGUGAAAAACCUGUCCAAUGCAUAAGGCCAAAGUGUACUCCUCGCCGCAUCAUUCUUCGAGGCCGACUAGCUAUUUUGUGCUUUUUUUGUUUUAAAUUUGAAUGUCACUAUACUUUGAAACAGAACUAUUUAGUCUUUGUGUAUAGUUGAAUUCUCCUGUAAAUACUAAUACUUUGUAAUUGAAUUCUAUUGUUUUGGUA
Zingiber officinale is the source of this 2435-nucleotide long non-coding RNA. RefSeq lists it as uncharacterized. The transcript has 3 exons. The record is from RefSeq and is a predicted model, not a curated record. Lineage: Eukaryota; Viridiplantae; Streptophyta; Magnoliopsida; Zingiberales; Zingiberaceae.